Molecule: long non-coding RNA, 1018 nt
Organism: Eriocheir sinensis (Chinese mitten crab)
Lineage: Eukaryota; Metazoa; Arthropoda; Malacostraca; Decapoda; Varunidae
Exons: 2
Source: RefSeq, a predicted model, not a curated record
CACAACGUCAACACCAAGGCCUCCUCUUCCCUCUCCCCAGGAAAGGAGGUCCCUCAACACACACACCACAACCACCCAAUCAACGUCAACACCAAGGCCUCCUCUUCACUCUCCCCAGGAAAGGAGGUCCCUCAACACACACACCACAACCACCCAAUCAACGUCAACACCAAGGCCUCCUCUUCCCUCUCCCCAGGAAAGGAGGUCCCUCAACACACACACCACAACCACCCAAUCAACGUCAACACCAAGGCCUCCUCUUCCCUCUCCCCAGGAAAGGAGGUCCCUCAACACACAAGAAACACAUCAACAUCAACACCAAUAGCCACAAAAAACAAUAGCCACAAAAAAACAAUAGCCACAAAAAACAAUAGCCACAAAAUAAACAAUACCCACAAAAAACAAUACAUAUAAAAAAUAACAGCCACAAAAUACAAUACCCACAAACAACAAUACCCACAAAAACAAUAUCCACAAAAACAAUAGCCACACAAAACAAUAUCCACAAAAAACAAUAGCUACAAUAACAAUACCCACAAAAAUAAUAGCCACAAAAACAAUACCCACAAAAAUAAUCGCCACAAAAACAAUAUCCACAAAUACAAUACCCACAAAAACAAUACCCACAAAAAACAAUACCCACAAAAAACAAUACAUAUAAAAAAUAACAGCCACAAAAUACAAUACCCACAAAAAACAAUACCCACAAAAACAAUAUCCACAAAAACAAUAGCCACACAAAACAAUAUCCACAAAAAACAAUAGCUACAAUAACAAUACCCACAAAAAUAAUAGCCACAAAAACAAUACCCACAAAAAUAAUAGCCACAAAAACAAUACCCACAAAAAUAAUAGCCACAAAAACAAUACCCACUAAAACAAUACCCACAAAAAUAAUAGCCACAAAAACAAUACCCACAAAAAUAAUAGCCACAAAAACAAUACCCACAAAAAUAAUAGCCACAAAAAUAAUAGCCACAAAAACAAUACCCACAAAAAUAAUAGCCACAAAAAACAA